GGACUACCCGGGUAUCUAAUCCUGUUUGCUCCCCACGCUUUCGCACAUCAGCGUCAAUAUCUGCCCAGAUCGCCGCCUUCGCCACUGGUGUUCCUCCCGAUAUCUACGAAUUUCACCUCUACACCGGGAAUUCCGCGAUCCUCUUCAGUAUUCAAGCUCAGUAGUUUCGAAUGCACUUCCUUGGUUAAGCCAAGGGAUUUCACACCCGACUUGCUGAACCGCCUACGUGCGCUUUACGCCCAAUGAUUCCGAGCAACGUUUGCACCCUCCGUAUUACCGCGGCGGCUGGCAC
RNAcentral lists this ribosomal RNA (292 nucleotides) under uncultured bacterium. RNAcentral's name for it is "partial 16S ribosomal RNA". The record is from RNAcentral.